UGGCAGUAUUUGAAAUACUUU
Molecule: non-coding RNA, 21 nt
Filed under: Caenorhabditis elegans
Lineage: Eukaryota; Metazoa; Nematoda; Chromadorea; Rhabditida; Rhabditidae
Source: RNAcentral